AUGGGAAGUCAGAGGCAGGGGCAGUUCAGGAGGGAGGCCCCACCCCAGGCCCUGAGCUAUGGCUACGGUACUGGUCCAGAGCGAUGGAGCCCACAGGUACUUGGGAUGGAGCCCAGUAGCUCCAGGGCAGGCGGUGCCCCCCAGAAAGGACUGACUUCCUCCUCCUUGGCCUUAGGUCAGCCUCACCAGGCACGUCAAAGUCCAGGUCUCAGCAUGACCACUGAGGACCAGCAGGGAAGUCUAGUUAGUCAAUUCACCGGCGUCAAGGCCAGAACACACCCUGGCCUGUGGAUGAGGGUGAUGGUUAUCUGAAGAGGAAUGACUAUGUCCACAGUCAGUCAUUCUGAGGAGGGCUUAAUAUCAGGCCGAGGAUGAAACUUCAGAGAGAAAGAUCUUAGGAUACUUCUACUUUCUGAGCUAGGGAAUGUAUUUGAUCUAGACUCAGACAUGAAGGAGUUUGGAUUGGGUCCAGUGGAGGAGGAGGGGAGCUCUCCCUGGCUCCAUGGUGAUCACUGGAAGUGAAAUAGGGACUCAGACACUGAGAAACCAGGAGGUGAAUCAGGGCUGGCUAAGUGGGCUGAGUGGAUAAGGGAUGGCAGAGUCCUCUCUCCUGAGACAAUCAUGGGAACGCAUUCCUGUGACAGAGAUCCCCAGAUAUUUAAUGUAGUGCUUGGCGAGUGCUCCAGAGCGGCAGAGCUCCAUACUCUACAGGCCAUCAGGGACCUGGAAAUGAUUCCACCGACGUUCCUCAAGGCAGUGGUUCUCAAUGUGGGAUUCCACAGAGUCAAAACUGUUUACCCAACAAUACUAAUGUUUGCUUUUUUCACUUUCAGCCUCCCAUAGUAUAGAAUGGAAUUUUUCACCUACCUAAUAGGUGAUGUCACAGCAGAUGCAUAAGUGAACGACAGUCUUGCUGUCAUUUUUAAGCCAUACCUUUUUUUUUUUUCUUUUCUUUUUAGAGCCACAGCCACGGUAUAUGGAAGUUCCUUCCCAGGCUAGGGAUUGAAUCGGGGCUGCAGAUGCCAGCCUAUACCACAGUCACAGCAACAUGGGAUCUGAGCUGCAUUUACGACCUACCCCACGGCUCACGGCAAUGGCGGAUACUUCACCCACUGAGUGAGGCCAGGGAUUGAAUAGUAUCCUCAUGGAUACCAGUCAGGUUCUUAACCUGCUGAACCAUAAUAGGAACUCUCUUAAGCCAUACUUAAAGAGAUUUGCCAGUUUCUAUUUCAGAAGCUGAACUUUCUUUUUUUUUAAAUUGAAAUAUAGUUGGUUUACAAUAUUGUGUAAGUUUGGGGUGUAUAGCAAAAUCGUUCAGUUAUAUACAUAUUUUUCAGAUUACUUUCCAUAGGUUAUUAGAAGAUACUGAGUAUAGUUCCCUGUGCUAUAUGGUAAAUCCUUUUUGCUUAUCUAUUUUAUAUGGAAUACUUUGUAUCUGCUAAUCCCAUACUCCUAAUCUGCCCUUCUUUGCCCUUUGGUAACCAUAAAUUUGUUUUCUGUGUUUAUGAGUCUGUUUCUGUUUCUGUAAAUAAGUUCAUUCAUAUCAUUUUUAAGAUUCCACAUAUAAGUGAUAUCAGAUGAUAUUUGUCUUUGUCUAACUUACUUCACUUAGUACGAUUAUCUCUAGGUCACACAUGUUGUUGCAAAUGGCAUUACUUCAUUCUUUUUUGUGGCUGAGUAAUAUUCCAUUGAAUGUAUGUACCACAUCUUCUUAAACCAAUUGUCUGAUAGGUGAAUUUUUCUUCAAUAUGUUUUCAAAUUUUCAUGGAGUUCCACUGCAACUCCCUAAACACUGAGUGUUGAAAAAAAAUAUGAGACAAAGUUCCUGUUUCUGUCUAAUCCAAAAGACAUAUCUUAGAAACUGACAAAGAUUAAUAUGUAAGGGAUCUGAGCUGUUUUUUUGUGAUUAUAAAUAAAGCUGCUAUAUAUCUUUGUUUUUAUGUGGAU
Molecule: long non-coding RNA, 1947 nt
Filed under: Sus scrofa (pig)
Lineage: Eukaryota; Metazoa; Chordata; Mammalia; Artiodactyla; Suidae
Description: lncRNA (ENSSSCG00055013255.1)
Source: RNAcentral